GAUGAACGCUGGCGGCGUGCUUAACACAUGCAAGUCGAACGGAAAGGCUCCUGCUUGCAGGGGUACUCGAGUGGCGAACGGGUGAGUAACACGUGGGUGAUCUGCCCUGCACUUCGGGAUAAGCUCGGGAAACUGGGUCUAAUACCGGAUAGGACCACCUUCUGGAUGGUGGGGUGGGAAGUUUUUCGGUGGGGGAUGAGCUCGCGGCCUAUCAGCUUGUUGGUGGGGUAAUGGCCUACCAAGGCGUCGACGGGUAGCCGGCCUGAGAGGGUGUACGGCCACAUUGGGACUGAGAUACGGCCCAGACUCCUACGGGAGGCAGCAGUGGGGAAUAUUGCACAAUGGGCGCAAGCCUGAUGCAGCGACGCCGCGUGGGGGAUGACGGCCUUCGGGUUGUAAACUCCUUUCGCUAGGGACGAAGCGCAAGUGACGGUACCUGGAGAAGAAGCACCGGCUAACUACGUG
RNAcentral lists this ribosomal RNA (465 nucleotides) under uncultured bacterium. RNAcentral's name for it is "partial 16S ribosomal RNA". It matches the Rfam family "Bacterial small subunit ribosomal RNA", at positions 28 to 507 of the family's 1533-position model. The record is from RNAcentral.